AGAGUUUGAUCAUGGCUCAGAACAAACGCUGGCGGCGUGUCUUAAGCAUGCAAGUCGAGCGGCAAGGCGGGGCGACCCGCCCUAGAGCGGCGGACUGGUGAGUAACGCGUGGGUAAUCUACCUUGGGCAUGGGGAUAGCCAUUAGAAAUAGUGGGUAAUACCGAAUACGUUCGCAGGGGGAAGUGACCUGUGAGGAAAGGGUGCUACGGCACCGGCCUGAGAUGAGCUCGCGUCCCAUUAGCUAGUUGGUGAGGUAAGGGCCCACCAAGGCGAUGAUGGGUAGCCGGCCUGAGAGGGUGUACGGCCACACUGGGACUGAGAUACGGCCCAGACUCCUACGGGAGGCAGCAGCUAAGAAUAUUCCGCAAUGGACGAAAGUCUGACGGAGCGACGCCGCGUGGAUGAAGAAGGCCAAAAGGUUGUAAAGUUCUUUUGCGAGGGAAGAAUAACCGCAGGAGGGAAUGCCUGUGGGAUGACAUGAACUUGCGAAUAAGCCCCGGCCAACUACGUGCCAGCAGCCGCGGUAACACGUAGGGGGCGAGCGUUGUUCGGAAUUACUGGGCGUAAAGGGCAUGUAGGCGGUCUGGUAAGCCUGGCGUGAAAGACCACAGCUUAACUGUGGGGUUGCGCUGGGAACUGCUGGGCUUGAGUGACGGAGAGGGAGCUGGAAUUCCUGGUGUAGGGGUGAAAUCUGUAGAUAUCAGGAAGAACACCGAUGGCGAAGGCAAGCUCCUGGCCGAUGACUGACGCUGAGGUGCGAAAGUGUGGGGAUCAAACAGGAUUAGAUACCCUGCUAGUCCACACGGUAAACGAUGUGCACUAGGUGCUGGGGCGGUAGCCUCGGUGCCGGGAGCGAACGUGGUAAGUGCACCGCCUGGGGAGUAUGCUCGCAAGGGUGAAACUCAAAUGAAUUGACGG
RNAcentral lists this ribosomal RNA (918 nucleotides) under bacterium enrichment culture clone L35B_104. RNAcentral's name for it is "bacterial SSU rRNA". It matches the Rfam family "Bacterial small subunit ribosomal RNA", at positions 8 to 916 of the family's 1533-position model. The record is from RNAcentral.